RNAcentral lists this transfer RNA (72 nucleotides) under Camelus bactrianus (Bactrian camel). It matches the Rfam family "tRNA". From Rfam's summary of the family: Transfer RNA (tRNA) molecules are approximately 80 nucleotides in length. Lineage: Eukaryota; Metazoa; Chordata; Mammalia; Artiodactyla; Camelidae. RNAcentral also lists the same sequence under 2 other names. The record is from Rfam by way of RNAcentral.
GAGGGUACAGCUUAGUGGUAAGGUGCAUGCUUAGUACGCACAAGGUCCUGGGUUCAGUCCACAGUACCUUCA